UUUUUUUUUGAGGCUGAGAGGAACCCACACAGAUUAUGUAAUAUACUUUGUGAUCAAUUAUAAACUUACAGCAUUUCUGAAAUGUUUUUUUUUCUUUAUCUUGAAUCAAGGAUCUGAAUCUGAUUGGAACACCGAGCUUUCCCAACAGCCAUGGUCAUCAUUGCACACCUGCAGUUGAAAUGCUGUUAUAACACACGUUUUACUAAUGUUCUUGCAGCUAUAUAUAUAGUGUUAUUUCUAGACAAACUGUGUAGAGUUUAUGGUUUACAGACUUGGUUGCACUGGUUCUGUUGUUUUGGGGUUUUUCUUCAAAGCUCUCACAAUGAUUCUGCUGUUGUUUUCAUUGACUGAACUGUUUCAUGUCUGGUUGUUACUACGCUUGUGAUUUCUUUCUUUUUCAGGACAUUCCAAAUUGUCGUAUUGACUUUUUUCCCUAUUUUUAGGAACUAAGUUUUACGAUGAGGUAUUGAUGUUUGUGGACUAAACUUCUGUUACAGUAGUGGCACAAAUAUCAUUUUGUUCAGCCAAGAGUCGUGUGCAACUAGCAGUUUGGUGACCCGUAGGAUUAAGUGAAGUGAAGCUAAGCUAGGCUAUCUGCGUUUGUUGUUUUUUCACUAGCUUGAAAAGGACUAAGUAUAAACUGUAACUCGUGGGCGUUUAAGCUAAUGUCGUCGUGAGAGACGGACAGCUGUAACCGCCAGCCGCAGUUUUCACCGUGGAACUGAAGGGACGAGGACUGUGGAGAACUGUGCUGAGUAGCACGGUCACUACGCCUGUGUAAGGAGGGACUCUACCGCCGAACCUGCAUCUCUGAAUCGACUCUUACCUGCUGGACCCUCGCCUGCAGCGGAUUCAUUCACUCACUCAGCUCGUUGUUUCCAGUUCAGCUGAUUUUCCUCUUCGAUAUGUGACACAGAUGUUCAAGACAUUUCUAAAAAAUAUUUGGCCCAAGAAAUUGAACUGAGGAAAGCAGACCAGACUGAAAAUGAGAAAACUGGAGAUGGAAAUUAAGCAAAUGGAGAAAGAAAGAAGCUGAAUAAGAUGACCCGGAAAAAAUGUGUUUAACCGUACACUAAAAUUAAAUUGUCCAGAGUCACAUGGCCCUCCCUACUCCACCUUCAAUUAAGCUCUUAUUGUAUCUUCUCACUGGUCUACCUACAAUCUUAGCAUACCUUCCUGAUGUAGUACAUUCACAUUGUGCAAAACUCCCUCCACAAGCCACUACAAUAUCAAGUCCAUUGUGGAAUGAUUCAGAGAUGGUUUAGACAUAAAUCUGGACUUUAGCUGUCCAAACGUAAUUGACAUACACUUUUGAAGUAGUAGAAAAGGACUUUAUAAGGAAUUCGAAUAAUACAUAGUUGGGCUGCAACAGUAACUACAGUACAUCAUUUACUGCUCUAAAUAUCAGUAUCUGAAUGGGAUUCUGGCACCUUCAGUAACUUGGAGAGGGUAAAAAUUUGUGUUUUCUGCUUGUACUGAGGUGUUAUAGAAACACCAAUAGUGUUUCAUUGAUUCAUGGACGUAUCAGAUUUGUGUAUAUUUGGGGCAAUGGUGGCAAAAUCUUGUUCCAGCUUGGAUAAACUCUGCAAGACCUCAGGAUUCAGUGGAGCUGUGUUUCAUUUCUGGUAUGUUUCUACGAACAGCUUUCCAGCUUCACCUUCUCGUCUCCUGUUAAACAAUAUUAUUUGCGCUAGAACACUUUCUGAAAGAUUUCUCCAUGCCACAGGAUCUGAGCUCUUGGUUAAUUGUUCUUUUGACUGAUCUUCCAAAAUUUUGAGGUGUUUGUGCAACCUGACAUCAUCUUCAGUCGGUGGAAGAACAUCAGCUUUGUUCCAUUUGUUUUGUUCAAGGUUGGUACUAGCUCGUUUUGAAACAAAUGUGUUCCAGUCAGAGUGAAGCAACCUGAUGAAAUUCUUGGCCUUCUGUCCUGCCUCACGGUCUUCCUUGAUCAGACUCUCGCCUAUCACAAUUUCACAGACUUUCUUGAGGGUGUCCCCAAUUUUACAAGCUAAAGAUGGGGUGUCUCAUCUGUUUUUUAUGGAUCAAACCCACUUGCUUCCAUUGCUGCCGAUACUGCUAGCUGAAAUCUUGUUGGCACACAAAACAUCCACUAGACGUUGUACAGCAGGGUUAAGCUUCUUUACUGCCAGCAUAAACCUCCCCAACUCCCGCAUUUUCUGACUGAUGUAAUUGUGCUGCGAUUUGUCCUGUCCAUGGAGCUCAAACAUCAUUUCUUCAUAUUUAUAGAUGAGAGUGUCUGACUUCACCUGAUUAGAGAGGUCAUCUUGAUGCAUGCUCAGAAUGAUGCAUUUACACCCUUCAGACACGGCAGGUUUACAUGGUGUACUUCGAGGUGCUACAGCUUGGACUCUCUUCGGUUUCCUUGAAAUGUUGUCUUUUUCAAAAAUGCAGAAAAGACUAGGUUAUGCUUUUCACAAUUCCUUUCUUUUAAAAAACCCAUCGCAAUACUAUCAUAGCAGAUAGUCUUGAUUUCGGUACUAUAGUGGAAAUUCCCUUUAUUUCGUAGUUGUCCAAGUAAUCUGUCAUGCCUUUGUCCCCUUAGUUUUUGAUAAUGCUUGUUCUACUUCAGUUUCUUUUGCAUAUUUUCUCUCGAGAUGUCUUCCCAGUUUGCUUUUCUCUGUACCACAGUAUACAAAAAAGUUUUUCUUAUCUCACUCUCUCUUCCCUCCUUCUUUUUUUGUGCACUUUUUAACAUUCACUUUUACAUUGUCUGACCUACCAUCUUCAUUUAUGGACUUUUGGGCUUUUUCUUAGUCUUUUGCUUCACAAGUGCUGUCAGAGUCCAUAUAGAUGGCAUCAGAGUCAGAACUUCCACUGGAUGAAACAUAUUCACUACCACUUGUGUGUCCUGAUGACAGAUCAGUGCUCCCAAUUUCAACAAUUUCUUCAAUCCUUAAUUCCUGUAAAAUCAAAAGUUUGAAUAUAAUAAACAUAAUUACAAAUACAGAAUUAUGUU
Ictalurus punctatus (channel catfish) is the source of this 2977-nucleotide long non-coding RNA. Lineage: Eukaryota; Metazoa; Chordata; Actinopteri; Siluriformes; Ictaluridae. The record is from Ensembl.